This 253-nucleotide ribosomal RNA is filed under the name uncultured bacterium. RNAcentral's name for it is "partial 16S ribosomal RNA". It matches the Rfam family "Bacterial small subunit ribosomal RNA", at positions 524 to 776 of the family's 1533-position model. The record is from RNAcentral.
UACGGGGGGGGCAAGCGUUGUUCGGAGUUACUGGGCGUAAAGGGCUCGUAGGCGGCCAACUAAGUCGGACGUGAAAUCCCUCAGCUUAACUGGGGAACUGCGUCCGAUACUGGAUGGCUUGGAUUUGGGAGAGGGAUGCGGAAUUCCAGGUGUAGCGGUGAAAUGCGUAGAUAUCUGGAGGAACACCGGUGGCGAAGGCGGCAUCCUGGACCAAUAUUGACGCUGAGGAGCGAAAGCCAGGGGAGCAAACGGG